RNAcentral lists this unclassified non-coding RNA (378 nucleotides) under plant metagenome. Its description in RNAcentral is "partial contains 5.8S ribosomal RNA, internal transcribed spacer 2, and large subunit ribosomal RNA". The stretch from base 1 to 105 matches the Rfam family "5.8S ribosomal RNA", at positions 50 to 154 of the family's 154-position model. The record is from RNAcentral.
GAAAUGCGAUAAGUAAUGUGAAUUGCAGAAUUCAGUGAAUCAUCGAAUCUUUGAACGCACCUUUCGCUCCUUGGUAUUCCUUGGAGCAUGUCUGUUUGAGUAUCAUGAAAUCUUCAAAGUAAAUCUUUUGUUAACUCAAUUGGUUUCUACUUUGGUAUUGGAGGUCUUUGCAGCUUCACACCUGCUCCUCUUUGUUCAUUAGCUGGAUCUCAGUGUUAUGCUUGGUUCCACUCGGCGUGAUAAGUUAUCUAUCGCUGAGGACACUGUAAAAGGUGGCCAAGGUAAAUGCAGAUGAACCGCUUCUAAUAGUCCAUUGACUUGGACAAUACUUUUAUGAUCUGAUCUCAAAUCAGGUAGGACUACCCGCUGAACUUAAGC